UAGUUGUAAUUAUUCUGAAAAGUAACUGCGAAUUGCGAUGCGAUGCAAAACUGCACUGCAUUCUGUGACAGAACUUCGUCUGCAUCGGAGGUAUUUGUUGGUGAUCUUCGGUAUUAGCAAAAAUUAUAGUGUAAACUGACUGAUUCAAGCAGUAGUAACAGAAUUAUUCAAAAUGGCGCAUGGUAGAUAUGCCGUGACCAUGCGGCAAUCGUGCAAUCUGGAGCCCUAUCGUGCCGAAGCCCGGCCAGCGGUAACCGAUCCUACCUAGCUGGAUCUUGGUUCCGCUGGCCUUCGGCGAUAUGAUGACUACUUCUUAGAGAAAUCAGUGUACGUUUCAUUUGCGAUUAAGGAAUAAAUGUGUUUGGCGAUUACA
Topomyia yanbarensis is the source of this 373-nucleotide long non-coding RNA. RefSeq lists it as uncharacterized. The record is from RefSeq and is a predicted model, not a curated record. The transcript is spliced from 2 exons. Lineage: Eukaryota; Metazoa; Arthropoda; Insecta; Diptera; Culicidae.